This 402-nucleotide ribosomal RNA is filed under the name uncultured bacterium. RNAcentral's name for it is "bacterial SSU rRNA". It matches the Rfam family "Bacterial small subunit ribosomal RNA", at positions 362 to 757 of the family's 1533-position model. The record is from RNAcentral.
UUUUGGACAAUGGGCGCAAGCCUGAUCCAGCAAUGCCGCGUGAGUGAAGAAGGCCUUCGGGUUGUAAAGCUCUUUUGUCAGGGAAGAAACGGUGAGCUCUAAUACAGUUUGCUAAUGACGGUACCUGAAGAAUAAGCACCGGCUAACUACGUGCCAGCAGCCGCGGUAAUACGUAGGGUGCAAGCGUUAAUCGGAAUUACUGGGCGUAAAGCGUGCGCAGGCGGUUAUGUAAGUCAGAUGUGAAAUCCCCGGGCUCAACCUGGGAAUGGCAUUUGAGACUGCAUGGCUAGAGUGUGUCAGAGGGGGGUAGAAUUCCACGUGUAGCAGUGAAAUGCGUAGAGAUGUGGAGGAAUACCGAUGGCGAAGGCAGCCCCCUGGGAUAACACUGACGCUCAGCACGAA